UAAAAUUUUAAAUUUCAAAAAUUUAAAAUAUCAAAAUUUAAAUUUAAAAUUUAAAAUUAUAAACUUUAAUUUUGAGAUUAUAAAUUAUAAAUUUUAAAAAUUUAAAUUUUUAAAUUUUAACGGGAACAAUUAAUAAAAAUAAUUUAUUAUAAUAAAUUUAUAAAUUUUUUUAAAAUUCCACUUAAACUUAAAUUUAAUAAAAAGAAUUUAUUAUAAUAUUUAAAUAUAAUUUAUUAUAAAUUUUAUUAUAAUAUUUAAAUAUAAAUAAUAUGUAUUAAUAUAGUACAAUUAAUAAUUUUAUAAUAAAAAUAAUGUAUUAUAAUAUAUAACAUAUUAAUUAUAUUUAUAUAAUUUAGUUUGCUUAAUUUAUAAUUUUAAUUAAGUUUGAAAUUAAGCAUUGGAAUAGCAUUAUUCCACCAAAAUGGUGGAAUAGCAAAUUCCUUGCUAUUCCGGGAUAACCGGGAAUAGCAAGGUUUGACCGGGAUAAAAUAUCCCAGCCAAAUUUCACCCCGUUUAGCGGAAUAGCAGGGAUAACUUUCGUUAUCCCCACUUAUCCCCCGAACCAAACGGGGCCAUAGUGAAUAAUAAAUAUUUUUUUAUAAAAUUUAACUUUUAUACGGUGUUUCUAGAAAAGUUCGGAUGUUUUCAAAUAUAUCUCUCUGAUUUGGUACCGUUAGAGAACUGUUUAUAUUUUUAAUUUUGUCAUCAUAAAUAUAUCAUUCCAAAAGACAUAACAGUAUAAUAUAAGAGAAAUAAAAAUGUCAAAAAGUAACUAGAAUUAUAUAUUUAAUUUAUGAUUAACUAAAUUUUUCUAACGAAUUCUAACGUAAGGAUAUAUUUGAAAAUAUCGUGAUUUUUACAAUGACAGAAUAUGAAAGUUGAACUUUAUAGGGAUAUUUAUCAUUUACUAUAUUUGCAGGGAGCUAUAUGAAAUUAACCCUUUAGGAAUUGGAAUUGAUGGAUGAGAGCCUGUUUAGCUCGAGUUAUAUAGUAUUAUUGUUUAUUUCGAUGUAAUUAAUUAUCUGAAAUUUUUUGAAUUAGAUUAUUAUUGAAUUACUAUGUUUGGUUCGGUUUAUAAAAUUUAGGAAUCUUGACAGUAAUGUAUAAUCUAUUCCAAAAUUAUUCUUGUGGUCAUAUUUAUUUAUUUUUUACUAAACUACAACUUAAUAUAAUUUGUACUUAAAUUAAUUUUAUUAAUAAGCAAUAUAAAUAAAAAGACCACACAUUAAAAAAAAUUAUAAAGCCAAAAAUUAAUUUCAAUCCAUAUAAAAAUAAAAAUAAAUAAAAAAUACCAUAUUACAUAACCAUACAAUAAUUUAAGAAUAAUAAAUUUUAAUUUAAAAACUCAUUUAUAAGGAUUCAUGCGAACAGGAACAGAGAAAGAGAGGGAUAGAAAGUGAGAGAGAGAGAUAAACAUGACCUAUUAAAAAAGCUUGAAGGGUUGGAGGGUUAAAAUUAUAAUUUUACAUAACAUGGAGCGAUAAAAAUGAUAUAUUGAAAGGGUUUGGAAGGGUUAGAGGAGUAAAAUUAUAAUAUUACGUAACAUGCAAAAUUGUUCGCUAUCAGUAGUAUAAAAUACCCACCCACCGCUUGAUAAUAUUUUCGGGGCCCGUUUGGUUCGAGUUAUGUAAUAUUACAAAGUAUCUCGACAUAUCCAGGUAUCUUGGAUUUCGGCGUGAGAUUACUACUAAUGCUGCAUUAGAGCGUUUGGUUUAAUACAGUAAUGUAAUACUAGAUUACAGUGUUUAUAGCAUUAAUAUGUUUGGUUCAGUUUAUAAAAUUUAGGAAUCUUGACAGUAAUGUAUAAUCUAUUCCAAAAUUAUUCUUGUGGUCAUAUUUAUUUAUUUUUUACUAAACUACAACUUAAUAUAAUUUGUACUUAAAUUAAUUUUAUUAAUAAGCAAUAUAAAUAAAAAGACCACACAUUAAAAAAAAUUAUAAAGCCAAAAAUUAAUUUCAAUCCAUAUAAAAAUAAAAAUAAAUAAAAAAUACCAUAUUACAUAACCAUACAAUAAUUUAAGAAUAAUAAAUUUUAAUUUAAAAACUCAUUUAUAAGGAUUCAUGCGAACAGGAACAGAGAAAGAGAGGGAUAGAAAGUGAGAGAGAGAGAUAAACAUGACCUAUUAAAAAAGCUUGAAGGGUUGGAGGGUUAAAAUUAUAAUUUUACAUAACAUGGAGCGAUAAAAAUGAUAUAUUGAAAGGGUUUGGAAGGGUUAGAGGAGUAAAAUUAUAAUAUUACGUAACAUGCAAAAUUGUUCGCUAUCAGUAGUAUAAAAUACCCACCCACCGCUUGAUAAUAUUUUCGGGGCCCGUUUGGUUCGAGUUAUGUAAUAUUACAAAGUAUCUCGACAUAUCCAGGUAUCUUGGAUUUCGGCGUGAGAUUACUACUAAUGCUGCAUUAGAGCGUUUGGUUUAAUACAGUAAUGUAAUACUAGAUUACAGUGUUUAUAGCAUUAAUAUGUUUGGUUCAGUUUAUAAAAUUUAGUAAUCCUGACAUAAAAGUAUAGUUUUUUUCAAAAUUGCCCUUGUUGUGGUCAUUUGAAUAUUAUUUUUUGCGGAAAUGACGAAUGGAGGGAAGGAGAUCGUGAUGAUUAUUUGGGAGGACGACGCAAUAAAAGAUGAUAGGUGUUCGUGCGAGAGAGAGAGAGAGAGAGAGAGAGAGAGAGAGAGACGUCCAGAUAGAAAGAGCGAGAGAAAGCGGCGUGCGAGAGAGAGGGCCGGAGGGAAGGCGAGAUAGAGAUGAAAAUAAUGCUGUUAAUUAGAUUUGGGGUUGUUGGAGGGUAAAAUUGUCAUUUUACAUAAUAUGUAGUAUUAACGGGUUUCAGUAAUGCAAGAUACACGACCCCCCUCCCGUUAAUAUUUUCGAUGUAAUCCUGCUCGAUUUGUAAUCCUACAUUAACGACUAGAUUACAUAGUGGAUUAACCAAACAUAGUUAUCCUGGCAGGAUUGCCUGUAAUCCUGCCAGGAUAACUUGAACCAAACGCACCCUCGGAGUAAUCUUGCACAAUUUGUAAUAUUAUACCAACCAGAUUACAGACCGAAUAUAUAGAGUAAUCUUGUAUCAUUUGUCAUGUUAUAUUACUAACCAAAUUGUAGACCGGACAAACC
Molecule: long non-coding RNA, 3109 nt
Filed under: Ananas comosus (pineapple)
Lineage: Eukaryota; Viridiplantae; Streptophyta; Magnoliopsida; Poales; Bromeliaceae
Description: long non-coding RNA (ACOM_LNC022975)
Source: RNAcentral